Molecule: ribosomal RNA, 521 nt
Filed under: uncultured bacterium
Lineage: Bacteria
Description: bacterial SSU rRNA
Rfam family: Bacterial small subunit ribosomal RNA
Source: RNAcentral
AGCGAACGUUAGCGGCGGGCCUAACACAUGCAAGUCGAACGCGAAAGGUCUUCGGACUGAGUAGAGUGGCGCACGGGUGAGUAACACGUAGGUAAUCUACCCUUUGGCGGGGGAUAACGUUCCGAAAGGAGCGCUAAUACCGCAUAAGACCACGGAGUCUCCGGACGCUGUGGGAAAAGGUGGCCUCUUCUUGAAAGCUACCACCGAAGGAUGAGCCUGCGUCCCAUCAGCUAGUUGGUAAGGUAAUGGCUUACCAAGGCGAAGACGGGUAGCUGGUCUGAGAGGAUGACCAGCCACACUGGAACUGAGACACGGUCCAGACUCCUACGGGAGGCAGCAGUGGGGAAUCUUGCGCAAUGGGCGAAAGCCUGACGCAGCGACGCCGCGUGGGUGAUGAAGGCCUCGGUUGUAAGACCUCGUGGGNGGAACGAACCGUACGGGGCGGAACGACCCUCCGUACCUCGACGGUACCGUCCUUACGUCAAGCAUCGGCUAACUACUGUGCCAGCAGCCGCGGUAAA